RNAcentral lists this ribosomal RNA (440 nucleotides) under uncultured Acetobacterium sp. RNAcentral describes it as "bacterial SSU rRNA". It matches the Rfam family "Bacterial small subunit ribosomal RNA", at positions 338 to 795 of the family's 1533-position model. The record is from RNAcentral. Lineage: Bacteria; Bacillati; Bacillota; Clostridia; Eubacteriales; Eubacteriaceae.
CCUACGGGAGGCUGCAGUGGGGAAUAUUGCGCAAUGGGGGAAACCCUGACGCAGCAACACCGCGUGAAUGAAGAAGGUCUUCGGAUCGUAAAGUUCUGUUAUUGGGGAAGAAAAAGACGGUACCCAAGGAGAAAGUUCCGGCUAACUACGUGCCAGCAGCCGCGGUAAUACGUAGGGAACAAGCGUUGUCCGGAUUUACUGGGCGUAAAGGGCACGCAGGCGGUUUUUUAAGUCAGAUGUGAAAGGUACCGGCUCAACCGGUGACAUGCAUUUGAAACUGAAAGACUUGAGUAUUGGAGAGGCAAGUGGAAUUCCUAGUGUAGCGGUGAAAUGCGUAGAGAUUAGGAGGAACACCAGUGGCGAAGGCGGCUUGCUGGACCGAUACUGACGCUGAGGUGCGAAAGCGUGGGGAGCAAACAGGAUUAGAUACCCGAGUAGUC